This 379-nucleotide unclassified non-coding RNA is filed under the name soil metagenome. Its description in RNAcentral is "partial contains 5.8S ribosomal RNA, internal transcribed spacer 2, and large subunit ribosomal RNA". The stretch from base 1 to 120 matches the Rfam family "5.8S ribosomal RNA", at positions 35 to 154 of the family's 154-position model. The record is from RNAcentral.
GAUGAAGAACGUAGCGAAAUGCGAUAAGUAAUGUGAAUUGCAGAAUUCAGUGAAUCAUCGAAUCUUUGAACGCACCUUGCGCUCCUUGGUAUUCCGAGGAGCAUGCCUGUUUGAGUGUCAUGAAAUUCUCAACCUUUCUGGCUUUUGCUAGUCAGGCUUGGAUUAUGGGAGCUGCUGGCUUUUGAAGUCGGCUCUUCUAAAAUGUAUUAGCAAGAUCAUUGCUGCUCAUCAUUGGUAUGAUAAUUAUCUAUAUCAUUGAGAGUCAGUUUCCUUUAUUGGAAGAUUUUGCUCCUAACGGUCUUUAGCAAGACAACAUUUGACGAUUUUGACCUCAAAUCAGGUAGGACUACCCGCUGAACUUAAGCAUAUCAACGGAGGA